ACACAGUACCGAGUCAAACAACUGCCAGUCUUCGACAAUAGCCAGAUGUCUAUGUAGUAUGUAAUCUUUACACAGUACCGAGUCAAACAACUCCCAGUCUUCGACAAUAGCCAGAUGUCUAUGUAGUAUGUAAUCUUUACACAGUACCGAGUCAAACAACUGCCAGUCUUCGACAAUAGCCAGAUGUCUAUGUAGUAUGUAAUCUUUACACAGUACCGAGUCAAACAACUGCCAGUCUUCGACAAUAGCC
This 250-nucleotide long non-coding RNA is filed under the name Mytilus galloprovincialis (Mediterranean mussel). The record is from RNAcentral. Lineage: Eukaryota; Metazoa; Mollusca; Bivalvia; Mytilida; Mytilidae.